RNAcentral lists this transfer RNA (88 nucleotides) under Bacillota bacterium. RNAcentral's name for it is "tRNA-Ser". It matches the Rfam family "tRNA". Rfam says of the family: Transfer RNA (tRNA) molecules are approximately 80 nucleotides in length. Their secondary structure includes four short double-helical elements and three loops (D, anti-codon, and T loops). Lineage: Bacteria; Bacillati; Bacillota. The record is from RNAcentral.
GGAAGGGUGCCGGAGCGGUCGAACGGAGCGGUCUUGAAAACCGUCGCGGUGAAAGCCGCCGGGAGUUCAAAUCUCCCCCCUUCCGCCA